GCUCUCAUCUCCCUCUUUCUCUCUUUUAUGAUAAAAAAACUGCAGGCGGGCGGCGAUGGGGUCGACAACGAUCAGAAGAGGGUUGAAUGCUCUGCUUGUAGACACGGUUUUGGGGGAGCAGUUGCAAACAUGUUUGUAUUUAUCUAACAUUAACAGAGCAAGCUUCCCCAAGGGUUUUGUUUUCGGCACUGCUUCCUCUGCUUUCCAGGACUGAUCGAACGUAUAAUAUGGUGCACGCACACGACACAUGAAGUGAAGACCUGAAGACCCUAUUUAUGUUGUAUUGUAAUUUAAUCAUUCAUUUGGGUCUGUAAUAGUAAUUAGGAGAACACGAUCUGUAAUAAUUAAUGCCUUACCUGCAUGGAAGGAUCGAUAAGCUCAAGA
Long non-coding RNA from Malania oleifera, 384 nucleotides. RefSeq lists it as uncharacterized. Lineage: Eukaryota; Viridiplantae; Streptophyta; Magnoliopsida; Santalales; Ximeniaceae. The transcript has 2 exons. The record is from RefSeq and is a predicted model, not a curated record.